GCAAUGCAGGUUGCCCUGGAUCUGGAGAAGAAUGUGAACCAGAGUUUGCUGGAUCUACACCAACUUGCCACUGCCCAGACUGACCCUCAUCUGUGUGACUUCCUGGAGACUCACUAUUUGGAUGAGGAGGUUGAGAUCAUCAAGUGACUUGGGGACUACAUCACCAACCUGAAGCGUCUGGGAGCUCCUGAGAAUGGGCUGGGAGAGUACCUGUUUGACAGGCUCUCGCUGGAGGACAGCAGUUAGUGGGGACUUUGACUGUGGUCUUUGCCUGUUUUGUAUCCAACUCCUUGAGAGAAUUUCUCC
Chiloscyllium plagiosum (whitespotted bambooshark) is the source of this 306-nucleotide non-coding RNA. The record is from RefSeq and is a predicted model, not a curated record. Lineage: Eukaryota; Metazoa; Chordata; Chondrichthyes; Orectolobiformes; Hemiscylliidae.